RNAcentral lists this ribosomal RNA (468 nucleotides) under uncultured bacterium. RNAcentral's name for it is "partial 16S ribosomal RNA". It matches the Rfam family "Bacterial small subunit ribosomal RNA", at positions 28 to 507 of the family's 1533-position model. The record is from RNAcentral.
GACGAACGCUGGCGGCGUGCUUAACACAUGCAAGUCGAACGGAAAGGCCCUGCGUUUGUGGGGUGCUCGAGUGGCGAACGGGUGAGUAACACGUGAGUAACCUGCACUUGACUUUGGGAUAACUUCAGGAAACAGGGGCUAAUACCGGAUAGGAGCUCCUGCUGCAUGGUGGGGGAUGGAAAGUUUCGGCGGUUGGGGAUGGACUCGCGGCUUAUCAGCUUGAUGGUGGGGUAGUGGAUUACCAAGGCUAUGACGGGUAGCCGGCCUGAGAGGGUGAACGGCCUCAUUGGGACUGAGAUACGGCCCAGACUCGUACGGGAGGCAGCAGGGGGGAAUAUUGCACAAUGGGCGGAAGCCUGAUGCAGCAACGCCGCGUGCGGGAUGACGGCCUUCUGGUUGUAAACCGCUUUCGCCUUUGACGAAGCGUGAGUGACGGUAAUGGGUAAGGAAGCACCGGCUAACUACGUG